GCCGAGAGGGCGGAGAAUACAACACCCGAAAGGGGAAUAAUCCCGGCCGUUCUUUGUUUCGGUUUACGAACCUCUUGGCGACCCUAU
Haemophilus influenzae PittAA is the source of this 87-nucleotide non-coding RNA. The record is from Rfam. Lineage: Bacteria; Pseudomonadati; Pseudomonadota; Gammaproteobacteria; Pasteurellales; Pasteurellaceae.